UCAAACGGGACUGGUUUUUGUUUCUUAUUUGUUUUCGACGGAAAACUCUUAUCUGUGAGCAUUUGAAUCCUUAUACGGAGGCAAAAACUACUGCAAACCUCUGUCACUAAAAAUCUUGCAAAAAGUUGCUCAGAACUCUUGAGAAAACCCUUCUGUUAUCAUUGCUUAGAUUUUAUCUAUGUUGUAUAAUUUGUUGUUUGGCGUUUGAUUAUCUGCGGUUGAUGGUCUCUACAAAGUUACCGACACGUAAUUGUGAACACGUAUUGUAGCAUCAUCCAGGUACAGAAGAGCUGUAUAAAAUUUCUUUUCAGCUUUUGUCUCAUUUUCCAUCGAACAACAGGAUGUGUUUGCUGACAAAAGCAAAUGAGCAGUUGUUCAUGCUAUUUCCAUGUGCAAAUUUGUUGCUGCUGUCAGAUGUUUUGCAGAGCCACUGAUGCAGAAACCCUUUGGUCUAUUAUCUCUUUCCGAAGAAUUGAAAUCCGUUAUCAUAUCUCUGAGAACUACUGCCAGGUGCUGGAGUUGAUUUAUGCCUAUCGUGUCUCGGAUGAUACUCUGUCAGUUCAGGUGGGGACUGCUGGCUAUUACUGCCAAGAUAAUUUUAAGCAGUUAAAUUUGGAGGAAACAGUGAUAGGCUGAGAUAUUGAUUGGCUGAACCUAGCUUCACUAUAUGGAUCAUAUGAUGUCUGUUUCUUAUGAUUCUUUGAAUAAUUGCAUCCACAUUUAGGUUAUGAUCAAUGCAUUGGCUUGGAUUUAGAAGUAAGGUGAUUGUUCUUGCUACUGCUGAAACUGGUAGUGGAAUCCACCACAAUUUCACUGGCCUACCACUGUCAUGAACAACUGCAUGCCUGGCAUGUGUUGUUUAGAGAGAACAAGUUACUGCCAGAAGUUGGCUUUCAUUGGAACUUUGUAUUUUGUGGGACACAUGCCAGGUGAUUUUGAUGUUCCAGGUAGUGUGCGAAAAUACUUCUUAUUUUGUUGCAAGAGAAGUGAUUGAGACGCAGGGAAUUGGACCGUUGUUAAUGGUAGAUUCGUGGACAAAGGCAAACAUAUGAAAGUAUUAGCUUUGUUUUUGGGUCAAUACCUAUUUUUAUGCCGCUUGCUCUUCUGGUUUUUUUUCCUAGUUUGGAAGCAUGCCUGAUUUUUCUAAGUCAACACUUGAAAAAAAUCAUAUACAUUUUUUUUCAAGUGGUAAAGGAGAAUUGUUGCAGGCUAGAGUAAUGAUGUAAGAAAAAUUGAUGAAUAACGAGCAUGAGGCAACGAGGCCUCUGAAAUGUUACAAUGAAAGCGAAUGGAAGAAGCAUGGACAAGGUGAUUACCUGAGAGGUCAGAGAGGUCUGAACACGAUGUUCAAUGAUGGAUGAGGGACAAUGAUGAAUGGACAGAGUUGAUGAUCCGACAGUGGACUUGUGAAUUGUGACUGCAGCCAUACAAAGUCCUGCAACCAUGUGAGCCUUUUCUGAGUUUCGUACGAAAUUAUUUUGGGACUUUGCUGACAUUUGGCCAUGGACCCUUUCUUUGUGAUCUCAAUCUCCUGACGUUCUAGGAUACUUCAUCUGAAAAAGCUAAUCCAGGACCACUCAACAAAAUGGGAUACUCAUGGCAGAUACUGCUCUACUUUUCCAUUUCUUUCUAAUUUUGCCAUCUAUAUAUGCAAAUUUAUCACUGCUAAAAACUCAGAAACUCAGCAGGCUCAUGUAGGCAAGAAAGAAAGAAACAUUAUUUACUAACAAUAUGAUAUCAGAGUUUUAACAGAUCAUAAAAGAUGAGUGUUCAUAUAUUA
This is a long non-coding RNA of Vigna angularis (adzuki bean), 1780 nucleotides long. RefSeq lists it as uncharacterized. Lineage: Eukaryota; Viridiplantae; Streptophyta; Magnoliopsida; Fabales; Fabaceae. The transcript is spliced from 3 exons. The record is from RefSeq and is a predicted model, not a curated record.